Long non-coding RNA from Salvia splendens (bonfire salvia), 665 nucleotides. RefSeq lists it as uncharacterized. Lineage: Eukaryota; Viridiplantae; Streptophyta; Magnoliopsida; Lamiales; Lamiaceae. The record is from RefSeq and is a predicted model, not a curated record. The transcript has 5 exons.
GAAAUGUUUCUCAAAAGCGAAGAUGUGUUCAAGCUUUCCAUUUAUCCUCCAUUCUUGUGAGACUGCAGUGUUUUAAGCUCUUUCUAAGAUGGACAUCGAAGAGGCACUGGUUGAAUGGCAAAGGGAAUUAAUAGUUUUUUUUAAUGAUUGGAAGAUGGAGCAUGCUGUAUCCAAAGCAGAUGGGCGUUGAAUUCACUGUUGAGAAAAGCAUUUUCUGUCGUGCUAUUGCCAAGGCCACAAAGACGAUGAAGCAAAGCUAAAAAAAUCUUCUUACUGUCGAGACACAAUGUAAAGCAGAAGAAUGUGGCGGAUGACUCUAUAGCAUUAGAAGGAGGACUAGUCCUGCCGAUGUCAUGGCCAGUUGAUCAAGCUAAUUCUAGAAGCAACUACUCUAGUACUGAUCUAGCAAUGCAACUAGCAACAAUGAGUUUUGUGAAUGAUCCUAGAAGAAGGUAAAAUAAUAUUACGUGAAAGUUGAAACUAAGGUGUUCAUUUUUCUCUUCAACAGGAACCAUAUGAGUUAUGAGGUGGGGGACGAAUCAUCGGGGCAGGAAUCGCUUUUAAGUUUUUAACAUAUCAUAUGAACCAGUUUCCAAGCACAUAAUGUGUAUGGUGUUACUAGCAACUAUAUACUUAACAGCAUAGUCCACAUGUUGGAACAUCUA